This 775-nucleotide ribosomal RNA is filed under the name uncultured Neocallimastigales. RNAcentral describes it as "partial large subunit ribosomal RNA". It matches the Rfam family "Eukaryotic large subunit ribosomal RNA", at positions 24 to 635 of the family's 3401-position model. The record is from RNAcentral. Lineage: Eukaryota; Fungi; Neocallimastigomycota; Neocallimastigomycetes; Neocallimastigales.
UAUGUGAUCGUCUCUCGCAUAUCAAUAAGCGGAGGAAAAGAAACUAACAAGGAUUCCCCUAGUAACGGCGAGUGAAGCGGGAAAAGGCUCAAAUUUGAAAUCUUAAAGGGUUUCCCUUUACGAAUUGUAGUUUAAAGGAGUGUUUUCUGUUGAGGUUUUGGUAAAAGUUCUUUGGAAUAGGACAUCAUAGAGGGUGAGAAUCCCGUAUUUGACCUUCACUUUCAACUUUGUGAUACACUUUCAAAGAGUCGGAUUGUUUGGGAAUGCAGUCCAAAAUGGGUGGUAAAUUUCAUCUAAAGCUAAAUAUUGGCGAGAGACCGAUAGCGAACAAGUACCGUGAGGGAAAGAUGAAAAGAACUUUGAAAAGAGAGUUAAACAGUACGUGAAAUUGUCAAAAGGGAAGCGUUUGACACCAGUGUUGUUUUUCUGAAAAUCAAUUAAAGAACUGUUUAUGCUAAGCUGUUUAGACUUUAUCAGCUAUCUGUUUAGUUUUGAGCUUUUCUUUAAUGCACUUUUCAGUUAACAAGUCAACAUCAAUUUCUUUUGCUGUAAAAAAGCUUGAGGAAGGUGGCUUGAGAUUCGUCUUAAGUGUUUAUAGCCUCUUGCCUAUGCAGUCGGAGAGAUUGAGGUCUGCAGCGUAGAUCCUUCGGGGCUAAAUGCAUUCGUGCUAAGUUAUAGCAUUUUAUAGACAACUUGUUGACUAUGAUUUGUCUUGUAGCUUACUCGCUUAUGUUAUUUUACCUACGCUUAGGAUGUUGAUCUACAGAGCGAGAGU